CAGGGAGACAGGUGGUGCAUGGUUGUCGUCAGCUCGUGUCGUGAGAUGUUGGGUUAAGUCCCGCAACGAGCGCAACCCCUACGUUUAGUUGCUAACGCGUGAAGGCGAGCACUCUAGACGAACUGCCGUUGACAAAACGGAGGAAGGUGGGGAUGACGUCAAAUCAUCAUGCCCCUUAUGUUCUGGGCUACACACGUGCUACAAUGGCCGGUACAGACGGACGCAAAGCCGCGAGGUGGAGCAAAUCCUAAAAAGCCGGUCUCAGUUCGGAUUGCAGGCUGCAAUUCGCCUGCAUGAAGUCGGAAUCGCUAGUAAUCGCAGGUCAGCAUACUGCGGUGAAUACGUUCCCGGGCCUU
RNAcentral lists this ribosomal RNA (356 nucleotides) under uncultured Pelotomaculum sp. RNAcentral describes it as "bacterial SSU rRNA". It matches the Rfam family "Bacterial small subunit ribosomal RNA", at positions 1027 to 1382 of the family's 1533-position model. Lineage: Bacteria; Bacillati; Bacillota; Clostridia; Eubacteriales; Desulfotomaculaceae. The record is from RNAcentral.